This 253-nucleotide ribosomal RNA is filed under the name uncultured bacterium. RNAcentral describes it as "partial 16S ribosomal RNA". It matches the Rfam family "Bacterial small subunit ribosomal RNA", at positions 524 to 776 of the family's 1533-position model. The record is from RNAcentral.
UACAGUGGUCUCAAGCGUUGUUCGGAUUCAUUGGGCGUAAAGGGUGCGUAGGCGGCGCGGUAAGUCGGGUGUGAAAUCUCGGGGCUUAACUCCGAAACUGCAUUCGAUACUGCCGUGCUUGAGGACUGGAGAGGAGACUGGAAUUUACGGUGUAGCGGUGAAAUGCGUAGAUAUCGUAAGGAAGACCAGUGGCGAAGGCGGGUCUCUGGACAGUUCCUGACGCUGAGGCACGAAGGCCAGGGGAGCAAACGGG